GACGAACGCUGGCGGCGUGCUUAACACAUGCAAGCCGAACGGAAAGGCCCUGCUUUUGUGGGGGGCUCGAGUGGCGAACGGGUGAGUAACACGGGAGUAACCUGCCCUUGACUUUGGGAUAACUUCAGGAAACUGGGGCUAAUACCGGAUAGGAGCUCCGGCUGCAUGGUGGGGGUUGGAAAGUUUCGGCGGUUGGGGAUGGACUCGCGGCUUAUCAGCUUGUUGGUGGGGUAGUGGCUUACCAAGGCUUUGACGGGUAGCCGGCCUGAGAGGGUGACCGGCCACAUUGGGACUGAGAUACGGCCCAGCCUCCUACGGGAGGCAGCAGUGGGGAAUAUUGCACAAUGGGCGGAAGCCUGAUGCAGCAACGCCGCGUGCGGGAUGACGGCCUUCGGGUUGUAAACCGCUUUCGCCUGUGACGAAGCGUGAGUGACGGUAAUGGGUAAAGAAGCACCGGCUAACUACGUG
Molecule: ribosomal RNA, 468 nt
Filed under: uncultured bacterium
Lineage: Bacteria
Description: partial 16S ribosomal RNA
Rfam family: Bacterial small subunit ribosomal RNA
Source: RNAcentral